CGGCUACCAUGCAGUCGACGCUGAGCUUGGUGCUUGCACUGGGUGGAUGAGUGGCGAACGGGUGAGUAAUACGUGAGUAACCUGCCCUUGACUCUGGGAUAAGCCUGGGAAACUGGGUCUAAUACUGGAUAUGACAUGUCACCGCAUGGUGGUGUGUGGAAAGGGUUUUACUGGUUUUGGAUGGGCUCACGGCCUAUCAGCUUGUUGGUGGGGUAAUGGCUCACCAAGGCGACGACGGGUAGCCGGCCUGAGAGGGUGACCGGCCACACUGGGACUGAGACACGGCCCAGACUCCUACGGGAGGCAGCAGUGGGGAAUAUUGCACAAUGGGCGGAAGCCUGAUGCAGCGACGCCGCGUGAGGGAUGACGGCCUUCGGGUUGUAAACCUCUUUCAGCACGGAAGAAGCGAAAGUGACGGUACGUGCAGAGGAAGCGCCGGCUAACUACGUGCCGCCCCCCGGGGAAUAAUAAGGCAGGUCCCGG
RNAcentral lists this ribosomal RNA (483 nucleotides) under uncultured bacterium. RNAcentral describes it as "bacterial SSU rRNA". It matches the Rfam family "Bacterial small subunit ribosomal RNA", at positions 45 to 535 of the family's 1533-position model. The record is from RNAcentral.